Molecule: long non-coding RNA, 298 nt
Filed under: Gossypium barbadense (sea-island cotton)
Lineage: Eukaryota; Viridiplantae; Streptophyta; Magnoliopsida; Malvales; Malvaceae
Description: long non-coding RNA (GBAR_LNC011115)
Source: RNAcentral
CUUUUACAACUAGGUCCACUUGUUGAAUUCAUUAGUUUUUAAUUCUAUGAAAGAAAUUGAAAGUUGCUAUGAAUAUGUGCUGGAACUAUAUGAUGAUUUGGCAUGGAAUUAGAGCUUUAAAUUGUUUAUAUGCUGAUUUUAUUGAAAGAAUUGAAUAGAAAGUGAAUGUUUAGGACCUAAUUGUAAAAGAGUUUGAAGUUAAAUUUUCAUGUGGAAAUUCUGAAUUUCAAUAGUUAUGAAAUAACUUCUAAUGUCUAGGAAAAGUAUUAAUUUAGAAAAUUAUCUUAAUUGAGGGGUU